GGUAGCCGUACCGGAAGGUGCGGCUGGAUCACCUCCUAACAGGGAGACACACAAUGAUUUUGAUGCCUGAGUACUUUUAUUCUUAGGUCAGAAUCCUGUCACCUUAGGUCGAUCGGUACCUCAGCUUUGAGUUUAUCGAAUUUGUAGCAAUGCAAAUGAGGAUGAAGUCAAUUCUUAGUUCCUAAACUUUGUCUAGGUCACACCCCAAAAGGGAUGAGACUCCUGGGCCAUUAGCUCAGGUGGUUAGAGCGCACCCCUGAUAAGGGUGAGGUCCCUGGUUCAAGUCCAGGAUGGCCCAUUCGGUGUUGGGGGUUUAGCUCAGUUGGUAGAGCGCCUGCUUUGCAAGCAGGAUGUCAGGAGUUCGAGUCUCCUAACCUCCACUGACCGAACGUGAUCCCCAGCUUCUUAACAUUAGGAGUUGAGUGAUUUUGGUGUGUGAUUUGGAUGUGUCCGCUGGCGACCCCAGCUUCCUGUCAUUCUGAGAUUCAAUUAUCAAUUGAAUUUUGGUUGAUAAGAUGCUGGGCUCGGAUCAAGCGUCAACGUUAUCGUGAGAUGACUUUGAUGGUUUGAUUUGAAGUCUAGCAGAAC
This 588-nucleotide transfer RNA is filed under the name Synechococcus sp. Cy04. RNAcentral describes it as "partial contains 16S ribosomal RNA, 16S-23S ribosomal RNA intergenic spacer, and 23S ribosomal RNA". The stretch from base 308 to 380 matches the Rfam family "tRNA". Lineage: Bacteria; Bacillati; Cyanobacteriota; Cyanophyceae; Synechococcales; Synechococcaceae. The record is from RNAcentral.